Non-coding RNA from Pelobates cultripes (western spadefoot toad), 137 nucleotides. Lineage: Eukaryota; Metazoa; Chordata; Amphibia; Anura; Pelobatidae. The record is from the annotation of a GenBank genome assembly.
CAUUACCCAGCAUUUCCCUGCAUCCCUGUAAAUAUAUAUAUUUACAGGAAUGCAGAAAAAUGCUGGGUAAUGUGGGAUAUAUAUAUAUAUAUACCGCUAUAUAUAUUUACAGGGGUGCAGGGAUAUGCUGGGUAAUG